Molecule: ribosomal RNA, 494 nt
Filed under: uncultured bacterium
Lineage: Bacteria
Description: bacterial SSU rRNA
Rfam family: Bacterial small subunit ribosomal RNA
Source: RNAcentral
GACGAACGCUGGCGGCGCGCUUAACACAUGCAAGUCGAGCGAUCGGCCAGGGGCUUGCCCCUGGUACGGAGCGGCGAACGGGUGAGUAACACGUGGGUGACCUGCCCUCGGUUCUGGGAUAACUCCGGGAAACCGGUGCUAAUACCAGAUGGCCUCCGCAGCUUUCGGGCAGCGGAGAAAAGGUAGCUUCGGCCUCCGACCGAGGAUGGGCCCGCGGCGGAUUAGCUUGUUGGUGGGGUAAAGGCCCACCAAGGCGACGAUCCGUAGCUGGUGUGAGAGCAUGACCAGCCACACUGGGACUGAGACACGGCCCAGACUCCUACGGGAGGCAGCAGUGGGGAAUCUUGCGCAAUGGGCGAAAGCCUGAUGCAGCGACGCCGCGUGAGGGAUGACGGCCUUCGGGUUGUAAACCUCUUUCAGCAGGGAAGAAGCGAAAGUGACGGUACCUGCAGAAGAAGCACCGGCUAACUACGUGCCAGCAGCCGCAGUAACAC